UCUAAUAUGGCAGAUCAGUGCAAUGGACUUAAGCCCCAUUUAUAAAGCCCCAGCUUUUUUUAGAA
This 65-nucleotide transfer RNA is filed under the name Lucanus mazama (cottonwood stag beetle). Its description in RNAcentral is "tRNA-Leu". Lineage: Eukaryota; Metazoa; Arthropoda; Insecta; Coleoptera; Lucanidae. The record is from RNAcentral.